CAGAGUUGCAAAACUCCCCAAACCAUUGUGAACCUUACCUUCAACCGUUGCUUCGGCGGGCGGGCCACAGCGCCCCCCGGGCCCCCCCAGCGGGGCGCCCGCCGGAGGAUACCCAAACUCUUGAUACUUUAUGGCCUCUCUGAGUCUUAUUAUACCUAAGUA
This 162-nucleotide unclassified non-coding RNA is filed under the name soil metagenome. RNAcentral describes it as "partial internal transcribed spacer 1". The record is from RNAcentral.